This 196-nucleotide ribosomal RNA is filed under the name uncultured bacterium. Its description in RNAcentral is "partial 16S ribosomal RNA". It matches the Rfam family "Bacterial small subunit ribosomal RNA", at positions 1305 to 1500 of the family's 1533-position model. The record is from RNAcentral.
CUGCAACUCGCCUACAUGAAGUCGGAAUCGCUAGUAAUCGCGGAUCAGCAUGCCGCGGUGAAUACGUUCCCGGGCCUUGUACACACCGCCCGUCACACCAUGAGAGUUUGUAACACCCAAAGCCGGUGGGGUAACCUUUUGGAGCCAGCCGUCUAAGGUGGGACAGAUGAUUAGGGUGAAGUCGUAACAAGGUACC